Molecule: long non-coding RNA, 835 nt
Organism: Boleophthalmus pectinirostris (great blue-spotted mudskipper)
Lineage: Eukaryota; Metazoa; Chordata; Actinopteri; Gobiiformes; Gobiidae
Exons: 4
Source: RefSeq, a predicted model, not a curated record
AGCGCGGUUUAGGAGCAUUUUGCAUUCUUUUAUUAAAAUAGCAUUUAGAGAUAAAAGUUAGCGAGGCCAAAUGGGGUGAUCUAAAUUGUAUUCGUGCAUAUUUUAGUGGUAGGUUUAGCAAAUAGCAACUGGUAGCAGCAGAUGGUGUAGUCCACGUAAGCUGCUUCUUGUGUAAAUAACUUCAGAAACCUGUAAUAAUGCAGAAUAAUUAAUAGUUAUAAUACACGACCAGUUAGUUCCCACUCACUUCACCCUUUACCUUGCUGUCCAAAACGAGAGGCUUCUGUCUUGUUUGCACUCAUUGACCCUUAUGUUUGCGCUGUUGCGCCGCUGCACGCUAGAGGGCGCUGUACUCCCCUAAACCACGUGUGGUCCAUGAUUGAUGACGACAGCAGACGGAGCAGACGCCCUGUAAAGAAAGGUGGUGCUAAGGACUUCCAUGGCCAAAGCUGCCCUGGGGUAGACUGAUGGAAGUGAGGCAGCCAAUCUCUUGUCGACAGGACCAGUAACCACCACCACAUAUCACAUUCAUGCACUGGAAGUAAACAGCUCCAUCAGAAGCUCAGAGAGUGGAGUUUACUGCUAACCUGUAUGCGAGGAAUGUAAUCACCAACAUACCAACAGACUGUAUAAUGUAAAUUCCCAACGCAGCUGCAGUGUGCCUGGUUCUGAAAGGCUAGCAGGAUGUAUCAUGCUGCCCCCUGCCCAAACACUGGCUGGAUGAGCGGUUGGUAUCCCACAGUGAGUGCUUACACAGAGCAUACACGGCUAAUACCUGGAAAAUACUUCUCCGGAGACGUCAUGGCUGUAAUGACUCUAACCAAUGGGACUGAUG